CCUACGGGUGGCUGCAGUGGGGAAUAUUGCGCAAUGGGCGAAAGCCUGACGCAGCGACGCCGCGUGAGGGAUGAAGGUCUUCGGAUCGUAAACCUCUGUCAGCAGGGAAGAACGGUCACUGUGCUAAUCAGCAGUGAAUUGACGUUACCUGCAAAGGAAGCACCGGCUAACUCCGUGCCAGCAGCCGCGGUAAGACGGAGGGUGCGAGCGUUAAUCGGAAUUACUGGGCGUAAAGCGCUCGUAGGCGGUAUGUCACGUCAAGGGUGAAAUCCCCGCGCUCAACGGGGGAACUGCCUUUGAAACUGGCAAACUGGAGUGUGUGAGAGGAUAGUGGAAUUCCAGGUGUAGGAGUGAAAUGCGUAGAUAUCUGGAGGAACAUCAGUGGCGAAGGCGACUAUCUGGCACAUAACUGACGCUGAGGAGCGAAAGCGUGGGUAGCAAACAGGAUUAGAUACCCUUGUAGUC
This 465-nucleotide ribosomal RNA is filed under the name uncultured bacterium. RNAcentral describes it as "partial 16S ribosomal RNA". It matches the Rfam family "Bacterial small subunit ribosomal RNA", at positions 338 to 795 of the family's 1533-position model. The record is from RNAcentral.